GAGUUUGAUCGUGGCUCAGAAUGAACGCUGGCGGCGUGCUUUACACAUGCAAGUCGAGCGAGGCGUGUAGCAAUACACAGUCGAGCGGCGAACGGGUGAGUAACGCGUGGAUAACCUGCCCUGAGGUGUGGAACAACCAGGGGAAACUCUGGCUAAUACCGCAUGAUACCGUGAGGUCAAAGGGGGCUCGCAAGGGCUCUCGCCACAGGAGGGGUCCGCGUCCGAUUAGCUAGUUGGUAGGGUAAUGGCCUACCAAGGCGACGAUCGGUAGCCGGCCUGAGAGGGUGAUCGGCCACACUGGAACUGAGACACGGUCCAGACUCCUACGGGAGGCAGCAGUGGGGAAUUUUGCGCAAUGGGCUAACGCCUGACGCAGCAACGCCGCGUGGAGGAUGAAGGUCUUUGGAUUGUAAACUCCUGUCAGCAGGGAAAAGCGAAUUGGCCUAACACGCCAGUGAGUUGAUUGUACCUGCAGAGGAAGCCCCGGCUAACUCUGUGCCAGCAGCCGC
This 509-nucleotide ribosomal RNA is filed under the name uncultured bacterium. RNAcentral's name for it is "bacterial SSU rRNA". It matches the Rfam family "Bacterial small subunit ribosomal RNA", at positions 9 to 518 of the family's 1533-position model. The record is from RNAcentral.